GAUGAAGAACGCAGCGAAAUGCGAUAAGUAGUGUGAAUUGCAGAAUUCAGUGAAUCAUCGAAUCUUUGAACGCACAUUGCGCCCCUUGGUAUUCCAUGGGGCAUGCCUGUUCGAGCGUCAUUUGUACCCUCAAGCUAAGCUUGGUGUUGGGUGGUUGUCCACUCCCUCGUGUUUGGACUCGCCUUAAAACAAUUGGCAGCCAGUGUUUUGGUAUUGAAGCGCAGCACAAUUUGCGAUUCUAGCCUAGAAUACUAGCAUCCAUCAAGUCAUUUUUAACGCUUGACCUCGGAUCAGGUAGGGAUACCCGCUGAACUUAAGCAUAUCAAUAAGCGGAGGA
Molecule: unclassified non-coding RNA, 337 nt
Filed under: soil metagenome
Description: partial contains 5.8S ribosomal RNA, internal transcribed spacer 2, and large subunit ribosomal RNA
Rfam family: 5.8S ribosomal RNA (bases 1-120)
Source: RNAcentral